GUUAAAAUUCCUGCACCAUC
Molecule: unclassified non-coding RNA, 20 nt
Filed under: Dictyostelium discoideum
Lineage: Eukaryota; Evosea; Eumycetozoa; Dictyosteliales; Dictyosteliaceae
Source: RNAcentral